GACGAGGGGUCCAAGCGUUGUUCGGAAUCAUUGGGCGUAAAGCGGGUGUAGGCGGCUCUAUAAGUCAGGCGUGAAAGCCCCAAGCUUAACUUGGGAAGUGCUUUUGAUACUGCAGAGCUUGAAUGUGGGAGAGGGUAGUGGAAUUCCAGGUGUAGUGGUGAAAUACGUAGAUAUCUGGAGGAACACCGGUGGCGAAGGCGGCUACCUGGCCCAACAUUGACGCUGAGACCCGAAAGCAUGGGGAUCAAACAGG
RNAcentral lists this ribosomal RNA (253 nucleotides) under uncultured bacterium. RNAcentral's name for it is "partial 16S ribosomal RNA". It matches the Rfam family "Bacterial small subunit ribosomal RNA", at positions 524 to 776 of the family's 1533-position model. The record is from RNAcentral.